AACGAACGCUGGCGGCAUGCCUAACACAUGCAAGUCGAACGAGACCUUCGGGUCUAGUGGCGCACGGGUGCGUAACGCGUGGGAACCUGCCCUUAGGUUCGGAAUAACUCCCCGAAAGGGGUGCUAAUACCGGAUAAUGUCUUCGGACCAAAGAUUUAUCGCCUUUGGAUGGGCCCGCGUUGGAUUAGCUAGUUGGGAGGGUACAAGCCUACCAAGGCGACGAUCCAUAGCUGGUCUGAGAGGAUGAUCAGCCACACUGGGGCUGGGACACGGCCCAGACUCCUACGGGAGGCAGCAGUGGGGAAUAUUGGACGAUGGGCGAAAGCCUGAUCCAGCAAUGCCGCGUGAGUGAUGAAGGCCUUAGGGUUGUAAAGCUCUUUUACCCGGGAUGAUAAUGACAGUACCGGGAGAAUAAGCUCCGGCUAACUCCGUG
Molecule: ribosomal RNA, 433 nt
Filed under: uncultured bacterium
Lineage: Bacteria
Description: partial 16S ribosomal RNA
Rfam family: Bacterial small subunit ribosomal RNA
Source: RNAcentral